This 1050-nucleotide ribosomal RNA is filed under the name Bacillus safensis. Its description in RNAcentral is "bacterial SSU rRNA". It matches the Rfam family "Bacterial small subunit ribosomal RNA", at positions 38 to 1069 of the family's 1533-position model. Lineage: Bacteria; Bacillati; Bacillota; Bacilli; Caryophanales; Bacillaceae. The record is from RNAcentral.
UCCGGCGGGUGCUAUACAUGCAAGUCGAGCGGACAGAAGGGAGCUUGCUCCCGGAUGUUAGCGGCGGACGGGUGAGUAACACGUGGGUAACCUGCCUGUAAGACUGGGAUAACUCCGGGAAACCGGAGCUAAUACCGGAUAGUUCCUUGAACCGCAUGGUUCAAGGAUGAAAGACGGUUUCGGCUGUCACUUACAGAUGGACCCGCGGCGCAUUAGCUAGUUGGUGAGGUAACGGCUCACCAAGGCGACGAUGCGUAGCCGACCUGAGAGGGUGAUCGGCCACACUGGGACUGAGACACGGCCCAGACUCCUACGGGAGGCAGCAGUAGGGAAUCUUCCGCAAUGGACGAAAGUCUGACGGAGCAACGCCGCGUGAGUGAUGAAGGUUUUCGGAUCGUAAAGCUCUGUUGUUAGGGAAGAACAAGUGCAAGAGUAACUGCUUGCACCUUGACGGUACCUAACCAGAAAGCCACGGCUAACUACGUGCCAGCAGCCGCGGUAAUACGUAGGUGGCAAGCGUUGUCCGGAAUUAUUGGGCGUAAAGGGCUCGCAGGCGGUUUCUUAAGUCUGAUGUGAAAGCCCCCGGCUCAACCGGGGAGGGUCAUUGGAAACUGGGAAACUUGAGUGCAGAAGAGGAGAGUGGAAUUCCACGUGUAGCGGUGAAAUGCGUAGAGAUGUGGAGGAACACCAGUGGCGAAGGCGACUCUCUGGUCUGUAACUGACGCUGAGGAGCGAAAGCGUGGGGAGCGAACAGGAUUAGAUACCCUGGUAGUCCACGCCGUAAACGAUGAGUGCUAAGUGUUAGGGGGUUUCCGCCCCUUAGUGCUGCAGCUAACGCAUUAAGCACUCCGCCUGGGGAGUACGGUCGCAAGACUGAAACUCAAGGAAUUGACGGGGGCCCGCACAAGCGGUGGAGCAUGUGGUUUAAUUCGAAGCAACGCGAAGAACCUUACAGGUCUUGACAUCCUCUGACAACCCUAGAGAUAGGGCUUUCCCUUUCGGGGACGAGUGACAGGUGGUGCAUGGUUUGUCGGUCAGCUUCGUGUUCUG